GUGGGACAUCAGAGGGUUAUAAAUUUCAAAUGUCCCUCCCUACAACACUCACGGCAGUGACGCCUGCUCGGUGCACCUCGAGAUCCCCCUACGCUGUGAAAUAUUCCUGGUGAGAAAACCUGCAUUGGUUCAUCGUUCUAAAUGCUGACAUGAUAUUCUAAUAAUGUCAUUUAAUUCGUGGCCCCUCCCUUUGCUAGAGUUGUGAUGGUUAGUGUGUUUGAUCUCCAGGUGGACUCCCUGCAGCACACUCGAGGUCAGCUCCUCAAAGUCUCUGAGCAGAUGUCGUCCACUCUGCGCUCCUCUCAACAACAACUUAGCGUUUAAACUGGAGCAGACUGAGGCGGAGCUGGUUCGCUCUCUGAGCCAAGCACGCGCCCCUUCAAGCUAAGCUAAGCCAGAGCCAGGAACAGUUGCAGCAGACGUUUAGCGCAAGAAUGCUAAACUGCAGGAACAGCUGCAAGCAGACAUUAGCGCAGAAUGCUAACCUGCCGGAACAGUUACAGCAGACAUUAGCACAGAAAUGCUAACCUGCAGGAACCAGUUUACAGCAGACAUUAGCGCAGAAUGCUAACUUGCAGGAAGAGCUGCAGCUUACCUUAGCACAGAAUGCUAACCUGCAGGAACAGCUGCAGCAGACCUUACCACAGAACGCUAACUUGCAGCGACAGCAGUUGUUAGCACAGAGCGCUAACCUGCAGGAACAGCUGCAGCAGCCAUUAGCACAGAAAGCUAACCUGCAGGAACAGCAACAGCAGCCGUUAGCACGUAGCGCCAAGCUGAAGGAACAACAGCAGCAGCCGUUAGCAUGCAGCGCUAACUUGCAGGAACAGCUGCAGCAGAAUGCUCACCUGCAGGAACAUCUGCAGCAGCCAUUAGCACGUAGCGCUAACCUGAAGGAACAACAGCAGCCGCUAGCAUGGAGCGCUAACCUGCAGGAACAGCAGCAGCAGCCAUUAGCAUGGAGCGCUAACCUGCAGGAACAGCUGCAGCAGGCGUUAGCGCAGAAUGCUAACCUGCACAGCUCCGCCCCGCCUCCUCCCCCAGCCUGGAGCCACCAAUGGUGUGACAGCAGUGUGGACUCCUCCCUGGACCUCCCCCCCAGCUUGAAGGCCACAAUCAGGGAGGCUUUAAAGCCGCACCCGUGGGAAUCUUCCUCCUCUUCCUCACCCUCGCUCUCGCUGUCCACUGAUCACAGCUGGCAGGGUCUCAGGGUCACAGACACCUCGCUCACCUCUGACCUCUCCUUUAAUCCACUCACGUACAUGAUGGAUAAAGAAAGUGAGCAGAAGGAGGCGGGCACUGAGUCAGGGAGUGCUCUGAUUGGUCAGGAGGAGGAGGAGGAGGAUGUGAAUAUGAGCUCUCUCACUGGGAUGCUGAGAUUUUUAUUGUCCAGCAGGGAUAGAACAGUGAUCCUUCUCUCUGACAUUCACAUGCUCUUCAUGUUCUGGGGGAAGAUUUCUUGGCAUGGGACCAAAGGGGAGGAGUCACAAUAAAGCCCACAUGAAAAAA
This 1509-nucleotide long non-coding RNA is filed under the name Gouania willdenowi (blunt-snouted clingfish). RNAcentral's name for it is "lncRNA (ENSGWIG00000009725.1)". Lineage: Eukaryota; Metazoa; Chordata; Actinopteri; Blenniiformes; Gobiesocidae. The record is from RNAcentral.